This 1423-nucleotide long non-coding RNA is filed under the name Mytilus galloprovincialis (Mediterranean mussel). The record is from RNAcentral. Lineage: Eukaryota; Metazoa; Mollusca; Bivalvia; Mytilida; Mytilidae.
AUAAUUUGCCCGGCUAAAUAUAAUUCAAUGAUUUAAAUUAGACAAUGAGAGCAAUCUUUACCCUUCAGUGCUCCGAAGCACCUUGAUUAUAACUGUUAUGUCAAUAUAAAUAUUACAAUCUCACCGGUGUAAAAUGUAAAAACAUGAAAUCCAAGAAUCACUAAAAUCUACUGUUUAACAUUUGAUUUUGUACAAAAUUGUUUUAAUUUAAAAUUAUCACACAUGCUUUAAUAUUAACCGUACACCAUCAUCAAACUUAUAAUGAUGAAUAAAUAUUUCAGGCCACUUCAUCUGUUCAUAUUUUGAUUUCAGAAGACAAAUAUUACUAUUAUGAGCUAGUGGGCAAGUGGGUGGAAUAUUGGUUCAGUUUUUCUUCUUAUAUGAAUGUUAAGGGAUGAAGUGUUUAUAUGAUACAGGAUUCAAUCUAUUAUUUGCUAACUUUUAUUUAUUCAUACACAAUGUUCAUCAAUAGAUAACAUUAAAAAACAAUUAAAUCUUAAAAAUAAAAAAUAUUGGAGAAGUAUCCUUUAGAGGGUAAGACAUAAGAAACAAAACCAUAUCUAAUGGCCUUAAAAACAUAAAGGAAAAAUUUAUGAUAACAUCAAACACCUCUUCUUGUCAUGGACGGUUUAUCUUAUUCUGGAUUUCUUAACAACUCUGAUGUAUGCAUUCAUUUAAAAUAAAUCAGAUAACAAACUAAAGCUUUUACCAAAGGGUUUCCAUGUAUACAAUUUAUUUACAAACAACUAAUAUGGAUUUUUCUUUUUAACCUGCAUAAAAUUUAAUCAAAUAAACAGUGACAUAUAAAACUUCUACAAUACAGUAGAUCUGAGAUGGCAUUCCUGUAAAUGGAGACAAAUUUUAAACAAACAAAAAAGAAGGGAUGUAUAUAUGAAAAAAACAUGUACAUCAUCUCCCUAACAUUUUUACAACUGUAUUUGAAAACAGACACAACUUCUUAAAUACACAUUUUAUUCCAUGAUGACACAUCUCAUCAGAAAACAUUCUCAAUUUAUAGCCACACACAAAAUUGAGAACAUGAGUUCAAAUAUGAGUGAUAUCAAUAAAAUAUAGCGAAAUCACAAAACAAAGAUAGUGGUAUAAAAUACCCAAAGAGUUGGUAAAAUUUCAAAUAUCUUUACAAAUGUCUAAAGCACUCUUUUUGCCUGAUAUUCAACAUCAAAUCAUGUAGAUAACAUUUGAAUGAUAUGUGGUGAGACGGCCUUGGAGUAGACAGUAAAAUAAGUUUGAUUUGUAAUAUGCUUAGCUCACAAAGUUUGCAUGAAGACAUGCUACCCUACCAUGAUAUGCAGGUAAUUUCUCCAGGUCACAGUGGCUUUAGUUUUCAAAUACUUUUAAAAUGCCUUAAUAUAUAACUUAUCAUGUACUAAAAGCAAUAGAGUACUCAUUUGAUUUAUCAGAC